UAAGGCACGCCUAACUCUGUCU
Molecule: microRNA, 22 nt
Filed under: Caenorhabditis briggsae
Lineage: Eukaryota; Metazoa; Nematoda; Chromadorea; Rhabditida; Rhabditidae
Description: cbr-miR-124b
Gene: cbr-miR-124b
Source: miRBase by way of RNAcentral